Coturnix japonica (Japanese quail) is the source of this 938-nucleotide long non-coding RNA. The record is from Ensembl. NCBI's taxonomy places the organism in Eukaryota, Metazoa, Chordata, Aves, Galliformes, Phasianidae.
GAAACCUUAAAUACCAUCCAAUUCCAAACCCUUUGUCAUGUGCAGGGUUGCCAGCCUUUCAAGCUGCCCUGGAUCCCAUCCAUUCCAACCCUGAGUGCCUGCAGAGAUGUGACAUUAUCUUAGUGUAGGUAUAUACAGUCAUUUAUAAGAGAGCAGCACCAGUAUACGCAUGGAGAAUUCUUCUGGAUUUCUGCUGUAUGACUGUGCUCUGACUCUACAUCAAGUGACCUUUUAACAUUACCUUGAUUUUGUCAUAUAGCUGAAGAUACCUCAAUGGUGAUGCUUGCUACCUUGGUGUUUGGGCUCCAUGCAACAAGACAGAGGCACAGAAAUGUAUUCUGCAGAAAUCUGAAGUUGAAAGAUCCAUAACCCCUACCAGGAAGAUAACUGUAGGAGGAAUGUGGUAUUCGGGAGCUAACUGAAAAAUUGUUCUCAUGGAAAGACUCUGUGUGUGCAGAGUGUAAAUAGUCAGUCUGUGCAUCAUUGUUUCUCUACCCUCAAAAAUAGUUUUAAGAUACUUUAAAAUAUUUACCUCUUGGAGCUACGAAGUAGUGCUCUGUUGCAGUGUCCUGUAAAUUUUUGGGGCUUUUUCCUAUUGGUAUAAUAUCAACAUUUUUCACUCUCAGAAGCGAUAUACAGCUCUUAAAGCAGAAACUUUUAAACUGUGUAGCAAAAUGUACUAGUGCUCUGUACUUAGAAGACUUAAAUGGUGCUGACUUGUAGCUAGCUUUUCUAAACAGACAGAUAUAGCAUUUACAACACCAUAAAAUAAGUGUUUGCUGGAAAUCGGGGACAAAACCAGCAGCUCUGAUUUAACAUCUGGCACAUCUUACUGGGAAAGAAUUUACACUACUCCAAACAUUGGCUUCUUAAAAAUAUUAGUAUCUGCAAAUCACCAGGUGUUUGUACAACAGUGCUAUACUGGGCCAGGAGAAAGG